RNAcentral lists this ribosomal RNA (167 nucleotides) under uncultured bacterium. RNAcentral describes it as "partial 16S rRNA". It matches the Rfam family "Bacterial small subunit ribosomal RNA", at positions 355 to 511 of the family's 1533-position model. The record is from RNAcentral.
UAGGGAAGUCUUCGGCAAUGGGGGCGAACCCUGACCGAGCAACGCCGCGUGAGUGAAGAAGGUUUUCGGANCGUAAAGCUCUGUUGUAAGAGAAGAACGUGUGUGAGAGUGGAAAGUUCACACAGUGACGGUAACUUACCAGAAAGGGACGGCUAACUACGUGCCUG